This is a long non-coding RNA of Vollenhovia emeryi, 2831 nucleotides long. RefSeq lists it as uncharacterized. The transcript is spliced from 3 exons. The record is from RefSeq and is a predicted model, not a curated record. Lineage: Eukaryota; Metazoa; Arthropoda; Insecta; Hymenoptera; Formicidae.
UAUUCCUAUUGCCUGUUGCCAGGCAUUGUGUGAUAGGCUUAAGACCGUGCCCUAAACGCUGUGAAGUUACGACGUGAGCGGCGCGUGAUCACGUGAUUAUACACUGUUUUUCGCAAUUCUCAGAAAAAGCGUGAGGACGCGGGGUCUGUUUUUCGUGGCUGAAUGCUUGCCGUCUUUCCGCCUUCCCCCCCUCUCCGAUGUUUACUAACGUGCCUACUUUGUUCGCGGCAGUCGGUGUUGUAGCAUCGUUCAGUUACGAAAAAUAGACGCAUGAAUACGGUAGUGUUUAAGCUUAGAUAACGGGGCUCGACACAUUAGCGUCUUAAGACAACACUUAAGAUGAUAUUGAAAUAAGAAUCGACUAUGAAUACCGGCCUACGUGGGCGCCCAUCUCUGUUGCGUAUGCAUCGAGACGCAUCGGGAACCCCUAGUCCACAAUCUUGCUUUAAGUAAGCUGCAAGAAAUUAACCAUUACAAGUGAGAGCGAGGGGAAUAGAUGCCUGUGAUUGGUUAAUUUCUUACGGCUUAAGGCUCACAGCUUACUUAAAGCAAGAUCGUGGACCAGGAGUGAAGGUAAUCACGUGAUUGCGCCUCGGGGCCGAGAGAUGGCGUGCCAUUUUCCGCGCAGUUUCCCGCGCGGUCCCAAAACCUGGUGACGUCACGUUAUUUCCGUCUUUUUGCGCGCUUUUCACCGGACGGUUGGUGGCGUCGCUUGGCGAGUCGCUUGGGAGAUUGGGAGACACUCGUCAUUGACUCUUCCGCCGCGUCGGAUCGUACGAGACGCGUCGAAAUAUUGGCUCCUGCCCACUGGACGCGGUAACGUUGCCGCACGGCGGAACUUGGCUAGGGAAACCAGCACUAGCCAAUCCACAUCCGAGCGCACGAGAGCGCCGGCAACGUUACCGCGUCCAGUGGGCAGGAGCCAUAUCUCCGUAAGUACGUCGCGCGUUUCUCCGGCUCGCCCCGAGGUAUGUAUAUCGCGAGUGUAAGUGAUCGCCGAGUGGCAGAGGAGACGACCCUCCGGUCAUCUCGUCGCGGCGGCACCGGCCACGCUACGCGAUGACGCCUCUGAGAUAUUCGGUACCGCGUCGCGCGUCCUUUUGUUCCAUUUUGCCGCAAAGUGCGUCGCGAGCGUGACCGGCCGGACAAAUCGACGCGCCGUGCGAGUGUCUUUUCGGGCGUCUCGAGAGUCGCCGCGGUAUUGCGCGGCGCAUUGGCACGUAGAGAAUAUACAAAAUGCAUGUACGGUGCAUGUACGGAGCCGCGUGCGUUGCUCGGGCGUCGCAUACGAAUCGACGCGCCGCCAUCUUUGCACGCGUCUCGUCUCGCCUUUUUUAAUUUCCCUUCGCUCCGAAGUGCGUCGCGAAUGUAACCGGUGGAGUAGUGGGUGCCGUAGAAAUGGUCGACGGGUAAUGUGCGGCCAAUGGCGGAGGAGGCGGAGGACGAUCCGCGGACGCUUGAAGGUUUGGGCUAUUCGCGUGGCUUUUAACCGGUCGACUCUCAGCUUUUCGGUCGGCAGAACUUUCGCAUACGUUUCUCUGUCGACUAAAUUCAAGAAUCGAGCCCCCGAGAGCAGCCUCUCGAUGCGAUGGACGCGACGUGCGUCUACGACAAUUCUUCGUGCGUCGACUCGCGUCUUGUACCCGUUUCCACCAUCUUUCUCUAAUUUUACGAAUUGGAGAAGGACAACAAUCCGCUGGUCCGAAGUGCGUCGCGAGCGUGACCAGUCGAAGAAGUCGGACAACGAGGAUGGGCGGUCGUUGCGUCUCGCUUGUACAAUCGUCAACGCGAACGAGCAGGUGCCGAUUAAUGGACCCAAUCGAUCGAACUUUGUGCGUUAACUUUGCGCCAGCUUCGGGUACACGUACAACGGAGAUGUAGCACAGCGACAAUGUGGACGCUCGACUGUUCCGUCAAGUGCACUCCGUGCGACCGUAGAGCACGGCUGUGCGACACGCGCGCAUACCGCGAGCGUACGUGGAGAGAGUAGUCUCGUGUCGGCGAAUAUGUAUUCGCGAGCGAGAUUCUUGGAGCGAACCAAUCUGGAUGCUCCACUGCUCGCGAGUGCGUCGCGGAUGCGAGCAUUCAGGAGUGCGCGAUCGCCAAGGUAAACUUGCCGGAAGUUCCGUCCAGUCGCGUGGUCGCGCGUGCGCGAGUAAGGAACAGCCCGGAGGAAGCAGCGAGGGAAGCGGCAACCGGCACAUGGCAAAAGUGACAUGCAGAGGGAUGCAGCUUCUACUGAGCAGAGGGAUGCAGCUUCUACUGAGCAGCGUAUCGGCCGUUUCGGUGAGCGACCAACAUAUUAUUAUUUGAUGUGUAGUUUUUCAGAAACAACCCACACCGGCCAAUGUUUGUAUUUAAAAAACAAACGACGUUUCGGUCCCGGAUUUGGAGCCUCUUCAAGUUAUCUCUUCACACAAUUGUUAUUGGUCUCAUAUUGUUCGUUUGGCCAAUAUCGUUAUGUUAAUAAGAUAUUGGUAAAAAAAUCAGUUCAAUCUGAUCUUUCGCGUCUCGCACGACACAACUAUACAUCUCUCGAUAUUUUUACUCGGGUCGCACAAUUAUUCCACUCCGCACUCUUCAACCAAGGAGUGCAAUGAUUUCUUGACCAAUAACGAUAUUGGCCAAACGAACGACACGAGACCCAGUAACAAUUGCGUGAAAAGAACUUGAAAAGGCUCCAAAUCCGGGACGAAAACGUGGUUUGUUUUUAAAUAAAAACAUUGGCCAGUGUGGGUCGUUUCUGAAAAACUACACAUCAUUGGUUUUAUAUUAUUUAUUAAUAUUUAUUUAUUACUGGCGAUAUCAAAUCUAUUGGUGAGAUAUUACUG